Molecule: ribosomal RNA, 656 nt
Filed under: Sparassis cystidiosa f. flabelliformis
Lineage: Eukaryota; Fungi; Basidiomycota; Agaricomycetes; Polyporales; Sparassidaceae
Description: eukaryotic LSU rRNA
Rfam family: 5.8S ribosomal RNA (bases 263-416)
Source: RNAcentral
GGAAGUAAAAAGUCGUAACAAGGUUUCCGUAGGUGAACCUGCGGAAGGAUCAUUAACGAGUUUUUUGAAGGGGGAGGUUGUCGCUGGCCCUAGGGCAUGUGCACGCCUCGCUCGAAUUCAUCUCUUUACACCUGUGAACCUUUGGUAGAUCGGAUUUAUUGACUCUGUAAGGGGGUCGGUGGAGCCUUUCGGCCUUUUAUUACACACGUCGGAGAAUGUCUUAUAGAAUGUCAUCGCAUCUUUGUAUGCAAAUUUAUAAUAUAACUUUCAGCAACGGAUCUCUUGGCUCUCGCAUCGAUGAAGGACGCAGCGAAAUGCGAUAAGUAAUGUGAAUUGCAGAUUUCAGUGAAUCAUCGAAUCUUUGAACGCACCUUGCGCUCCUUGGUAUUCCGAGGAGCAUGCCUGUUUGAGUGUCAUUAAAUCAUCAACUUCGUUUUUUCCUUGUCGGAAAGAAUGAAGCUUGGACUUGGAGGUAUACUUGUCGGCCCUCUGUCGGUCGGCUCCUCUUAAAUGCAUUAGCUCGAGCCCUUGUGUGGAUCGGCCAUCGGUGUGAUAAUAAUCGUCUACGCCGCGGUCGAAAACGCUCUGUGGAUGUCGGCUUCUAAUCGUCCCUUUGAAGGGGACAGCUUUGACCUUUGACCUCAAAUCAGGGUAGG